UACAGAGGUCUCAAGCGUUGUUCGGAUUCAUUGGGCGUAAAGGGUGCGUAGGCGGCGCGGUAAGUCGGGUGUGAAAUCUCGGAGCUUAACUCCGAAACUGCAUUCGAUACUGCCGUGCUUGAGGACUGGAGAGGAGACUGGAAUUUACGGUGUAGCGGUGAAAUGCGUAGAGAUCGGGAGGAACACCGGCGGCGAAGGCGGCUGCCUGGACCAGUCCUGACGCUGAGGCGCGAAAGCUAGGGGAGCAAACAGG
This 253-nucleotide ribosomal RNA is filed under the name uncultured bacterium. RNAcentral describes it as "partial 16S ribosomal RNA". It matches the Rfam family "Bacterial small subunit ribosomal RNA", at positions 524 to 776 of the family's 1533-position model. The record is from RNAcentral.